UACCUUUUUAGCCUUAUGACUCGUGCCGUGAGGUGUUAGGUUAAGUCCUGCAACGAGCGCAACCCCUGUCACUAGUUGCCAUCAUUAAGUUGGGGACUGUAGUGAGACGGCAUACGCAAGUAGAGAGGAAGGUGGGGAUGAUGUCAAAUCAUCACGGCCCUUACGCCUUGGGCCACACACGUAAUACAAUGGCCGGUACAGAGGGCAGCUACACAGUGAUCAGAUGCAAAUCUCGAAAGCCGGUUUCAGUUCGGAUUGGAGUCUGCAACUCGACUAUAUGAAGCUGGAAUCGAUAGUAAUCGCGCAUCAGCCAUGGCGCGGUGAAUACGUUCCCGGGCACAGUACACACCGCCAGUCAAGCCAUGGAAGUAUGGGGUACUUGAAGACGGUGACCGUAACAGGAGCGCGUAUAGAUACCCAA
RNAcentral lists this ribosomal RNA (421 nucleotides) under bacterium 14S125. RNAcentral's name for it is "bacterial SSU rRNA". It matches the Rfam family "Bacterial small subunit ribosomal RNA", at positions 1042 to 1469 of the family's 1533-position model. The record is from RNAcentral.